RNAcentral lists this ribosomal RNA (406 nucleotides) under uncultured bacterium. RNAcentral describes it as "partial 16S ribosomal RNA". It matches the Rfam family "Bacterial small subunit ribosomal RNA", at positions 30 to 526 of the family's 1533-position model. The record is from RNAcentral.
AUUGAACGCUGGCGGCAGGCCUAACACAUGCAAGUCGAACGAGCGGCGGACGGGUGAGUAAUGUAUGGGAAUCUGCCCGAUGGAGGGGGAUAACUACUGGAAACGGUCGCUAAUACCGCAUACUAUCGGAUGAGCCUAGAUCGGAUUAGCUAGUUGGUGGGGUAAAGGCUUACCAAGGCGACGAUCCGUAGCUGGUCUGAGAGGAUGACCAGCCACACUGGAACUGAGACACGGUCCAGACUCCUACGUGAGGCAGCAGUGGGGAAUAUUGGACAAUGGGCGAAAGCCUGAGGCAGCCAUGCCGCGUGUAUGAAGAAGGCCUUCGGGUUGUAAAGUACUUUCAGCGGGGAGGCGUUACCCGCAGAAGAAGCACCGGCUAACUCCGUGCCAGCAGCCGCGGUAAUUC